Molecule: ribosomal RNA, 425 nt
Filed under: uncultured bacterium
Lineage: Bacteria
Description: bacterial SSU rRNA
Rfam family: Bacterial small subunit ribosomal RNA
Source: RNAcentral
AGGGAAUCUUCCACAAUGGACGAAAGUCUGAUGGAGCAAUGCCGCGUGAGUGAAGAAGGUUUUCGGAUCGUAAAACUCUGUUGUGAGGGAAGAACAAGUACAGGAGUAACUGUCUGUACCUUGACGGUACCUCAUUAGAAAGCCACGGCUAACUACGUGCCAGCAGCCGCGGUAAUACGUAGGUGGCAAGCGUUGUCCGGAAUUAUUGGGCGUAAAGCGCGCGCAGGCGGCCUUUUAAGUCUGAUGUGAAAGCCCACGGCUCAACCGUGGAAGGUCAUUGGAAACUGAAGGGCUUGAGUACAGAAGAGGAAAGCGGAAUUCCACGUGUAGCGGUGAAAUGCGUAGAGAUGUGGAGGAACACCAGUGGCGAAGGCGGCUUUCUGGUCUGUAACUGACGCUGAGGCGCGAAAGCGUGGGGAGCAAAC